RNAcentral lists this ribosomal RNA (82 nucleotides) under Lepisosteus oculatus (spotted gar). The record is from RNAcentral. Lineage: Eukaryota; Metazoa; Chordata; Actinopteri; Semionotiformes; Lepisosteidae.
UUCUGCAGCUAUAUCAGCAGGCGUGAGCCAGGCCAGUACCUGGAUGGGAGACCUUCUGGGAAAACCGAGGUCCCUGCUGAAG